RNAcentral lists this ribosomal RNA (424 nucleotides) under Fusobacteriota bacterium. RNAcentral's name for it is "Fusobacteria bacterium partial 16S ribosomal RNA". It matches the Rfam family "Bacterial small subunit ribosomal RNA", at positions 355 to 776 of the family's 1533-position model. The record is from RNAcentral. Lineage: Bacteria; Fusobacteriati; Fusobacteriota.
UGAGGAAUAUUGGUCAAUGGGCGAGAGCCUGAACCAGCCAAGUAGCGUGCAGGAUGACGGCCCUCUGGGUUGUAAACUGCUUUUAUGUGGGGUUAAAGUGCGUGACGUGUCAUGCAUUGCAAGUACCACAUGAAUAAGGACCGGCUAAUUCCACGCCAGAAGCCGCGGUAAUACGGAAGGUGCGGGCGUUAUCCGGAUUUAUUGGGUUUAAAGGGAGCGUAGGCUGUCUAUUAAGCGUGUUGUGAAAUUUACCGGCUCAACCGGUGGCUUGCAGCUGGAACUGGUCGACUUGAGUAUGCAGGAAGUAGGCGGAAUUCAUGGUGUAGCGGUGAAAUGCUUAGAUAUCAUGACGAACUCCGAUUGCGCAGGCAGCUUACUGUAGCAUAACUGACGCUGAUGCUCGAAAGCGCGGGUAUCAAACAGG